This 889-nucleotide long non-coding RNA is filed under the name Homo sapiens (human). RNAcentral describes it as "HSALNT0337165". The record is from RNAcentral. Lineage: Eukaryota; Metazoa; Chordata; Mammalia; Primates; Hominidae.
AGAGCCGAAGAUUGAAGCUUGAAGAAGUCCAGCGUUUCAGAUCAGAUGAGGAGCACUGGCUGGUAAAUGAAGAAGGAGAAGGAGCAACUGAAGAGGCAGUAGACAAUCCAAACGGAUCUAGUAUCAUGGAAACCAAGUCAGUGGAGGAUCUACUGGAGUGGCAUGGUCAGCUUUGUUGUGCUUUGAUAAGAGGGUCAACUCAGAUUCUCCAAGAAGCAGGCACCAAGACAGAAUUAGAUGUGAAAGAAAUACACUCAGAGAAAUGCUCUUGAAGGAUAAAGACGCCAAGGAGCAAGAGGAACUGUAAAAACCUCCAGAUCAUGUUGCUGUUUUCAAUAGUUCUUUAUAUAGAACUAAAUGAAAUUGUCUGAGUUUUGACAAUUAUAAUAUUUUAUUUCUGAUUAAUCAGAAAAUAGUUUGCCAUAAAAAUUUAUCACUUCUGAUAUUAGCACAUAAAUUUGUUUUUAUUGUAAUUUCAAAACUAAUGUCAAGACUGAGCAAAUCAUAAGAUGGAAGCACCUGUGAGUGCCUGGGACCCUCAAGAUCAUCAAAUCCAGCUUUCCCUGCAGAGAUGGUCUUUCAACUUUUGCCUGAACAUCAUCCUUGUGAGGGAAAUCGUUUCAUCACAAAGCAAUCCAGUUUACUACUGGAACACUGCAAUUAUUUGAAGAUUUUUGGCAUCACAUGUCACAACAUUGCUUCAUAUGAAUUGGUACUUAAAAGAAAACUCGACGCCAUAGAACUACAAAAUUAAAUCCAGGAAGAACCUCAGAGACGAUCUUCUUCCAACAUCCUCUUUCUCAGAUAAGGAAAUUAAGGUUUUAAAAGAUCUUGUGCCAAAAGUCACACAGUUGACUUGUGGCAGUUAAGAUUAAAUUUUAAAAUUCCU